RNAcentral lists this long non-coding RNA (1342 nucleotides) under Brassica napus (rape). RNAcentral describes it as "long non-coding RNA (BNAP_LNC009065)". Lineage: Eukaryota; Viridiplantae; Streptophyta; Magnoliopsida; Brassicales; Brassicaceae. The record is from RNAcentral.
CCUUUUCUUGAGAGUGAGAGUAUACACAAAACUAGUUUCGCCAGGCUUUUGAUAGAGUGACGCGAAUCAGAAGAUUUUUUGCAGUUGUAUCUUGGGACUCAUUACGUUAUCAAACCGUCGCACUACGUACGGGACGUAUUUUGAGUUAAGAAAAGAGAUAAUAUCUCGCCUCUGCAGUUGAAUCAUUUUUUUCUUAAUCUUUGGUAUACUUUUAUCAAUUUUUUUCUUUACAAUAUUCAGUUAUUCAUAAUUUAUAUAAUAAGGUCCUAUCAUUGGCCUCCUCAAUCUUUGUUGUAAUCCGUAUCUCAAUCUCAUAUGUAUCCAGGUGCUGAAAUAACAGUGCAAGUUGUUCUUCUCUAACAGCAGAUAGAAUCACGGAGUCUCCACUACGAGAGUUAGAAUCCAGCUCAAGACAACGAUAUGCAAAUGAUAAUAUCAACAACAAAGAAACGAUUGAUUGCUGGUUGGAAAUUAAAUUAAACCAGGAACGUAAACCGGAUAAACCAAAUAAUUGAAUCACUACGCAAAUCAACCUUUGACAAAUAAAAGACAGCAGUAAAAAAAAAAUAUCUUUUUACGCUUGACGUUAAACAAAAGAAAACGACGAGGUUAAAUAAAACGAUUUAUAUAUUUUUAAAGACUUUUAACCGAAUCUGAUUGAAAUCCCGUUUAGAAAUAUCAAUACAGAAACGUAAAUUGCAGAAAUAUAUAAAAAUAAUCCAAUAGAUCCUGCAAAAUAAAAACGUAAGAGCAAGAAUAUGACUUUAACGCUGACACCGAGAGCAAUCGGAACCCAAUCCGAUUCCAACACCUUCUUAGAAAAUAUCAAUCAACCUGUUCUUAAAAAAAAACUUUUAAAAUAAUCAGUCCGGUUAGUGCAAAACAAUAAACGGAUAUUUUGAGUUAAGACUGAUAGGACCGUCUUAUAUAAACUACGGAGAGCUGAAUAUUGUAAAGAAUAAAAUUGAUAAAAGUAUACCAAAGAUUAAGAAAAUGAUGAUUCAACUGCUGAGGCGAGAUAUUAUCUCUUUCCUUAACUCAAAAUACGUCCCGUAGUGCGACGGUUUGAUAACGUAUUGAGUCCCAAGAUACAACUGCAAAAAAUCUUCUGAUUUGUGUCACUCUAUCAGAAGCCUGGCGAAACUAGUUUUGUGUAUAUUCUCAUACUCAAAAGAAAACUAAAGAGAAAGAUAAAAGAAAUAUGGAUGAUCGUAUGUUUUCUCUAUGCAUCUUGGAAUAAGGAAGACCAUUGUCUAUAUAUAUACUCUCAUAGAAUUGCCCAAUAAAUCCAAGCAACAGUGGAGAGAUACGGAGGUUACGUUCUUCAUAUUUUAUAUUGAUU